This 1271-nucleotide long non-coding RNA is filed under the name Lathyrus oleraceus (garden pea). RNAcentral describes it as "Pisum sativum (pea) long non-coding RNA (PSAT_LNC021529)". The record is from RNAcentral. Lineage: Eukaryota; Viridiplantae; Streptophyta; Magnoliopsida; Fabales; Fabaceae.
UAACAUACCACAUCCAAUACAAUUCAAACAAUUCACAUUUCAACUUGUAAUUCAAUACACUUUCCAUACAAAACUCAAUUCUAUAAACCAUUCAAUUCAAUUCCAUGGCCUUUCAAUACAUUCCCAUACAACCAAUACAUUCAAACUUGCCAUUGCAAAUUAAUACAAUACACACUUUCAAUACAACUUUCCAUUAAAAUCCUAUAUUCCAUAAACUACAAUUUUCCAUAACUCAAUCCCAUUCACAAUACACAAAUUCUAUGCUAAACAUUAGUCCUAAAAUUCCCUUUUGAUUCUUCACAACAGCUUCACUUCAAUUUCACAAAGCUCAUGACAAAAAACUCCAAGCUAAGUUUCCACUUGCAAGCUUGUUCAACAGACCAAAUAGCAGGACUCCACAUACAUAAUAGUCCACACAUUGAACCUACAAACAUAUUUCCUACUGACUUUAACAGGGAAAAAUAAUGAAUCACUGCAUACAUGAUAGAAAAUUCAGCAGAUCAAUCCACCCUUCAAAAUUCAAAAUGCAACAGAGCACACAAUUGAAAUGACCUGCAUACUUUCACCAUGCACAUUUUUUACAUGGAGCACACCAAGUGAAGAUCCUGCAUAACGAUUACACCUGUAGAAAUUCAUUCAACAGAUCAUUUAAACUCACUAACAAAAUUCUGCAUAAUUCAGAAAACAAUGCACCCUGCACAAAUUGAAGACCACAAUAACUAACCAACAGAUGCAACAUAGAGAAUCCAAUUAAAACUAACUCAUUUUCACUCAUUCAAACUCUAAUAGAUUUUAUGCAUUUCUACCACAUCGAUGUGAAUUUCAGAUAAAUUCCAUUUCCAUUUCUAAUAUAAAUUUGAAGGACCUAAAAGCUAUAAAUACAUCUCACUCUUCACUCAUUCGAGGAUCACGAUUCAUUUUCACUCUUUUCAGAUUUUUGAGAUUCAAUCUUCAUCUCAGAAACUCUAUUCACCCUCACAUAGAGCUCUCAGAAUAAUCCAUUAAAGCUUCACAUCGAAGCUUCAAUAGAGUAGAGCAUAGCCUUCACUCAAUUCAAUCCCUCUCGAUUACCUUCCAUUACAUCCAUAUCUCAAUUGCAGAAGAAGUUUCAGCAGAAAAAGAGAAUCAAAGGAGGAAGAUAUGAUCAAGAAUUACCUGGUUCAAGUGAUUUCCCGUCGCAACUUCAUUUUCUGCAAUUCAAGUUCGUCGGAACAAAUAUUCAUUUCUGAGGUAAAUACUCUUCUUCUCCGUUUAUCACGAUCUUGUUACCA